AUUGAACGCUGGCGGCAGGCCUAACACAUGCAAGUCGAGCGAGCGGCGGACGGGUGAGUAAUGUAUGGGGACUGCCCGAUAGAGGGGGAUAACUACUGGAAACGGUGGCUAAUACCGCAUACUAUCGGAUAACCCAUAUGGGAUUAGCUAGUAGGUGGGGUAAAGGCGCACCUAGGCGAAUAUCUCGAGCUGGUCUGAGCGGAUGAGCAGCCACAUGGGGACUGAGACACGGCCCAGACUCCGACGGAGUCAGCUGUGGGGAUGAUUGCACAAUGGGCGAAAGCCUGAUGCAGCCAUGCCGAGUGUAUGAAGAAGGCCUUCGGGUUGUAAAGUACUUUCAGUCGGGAGGCGUUACCGACAGAAGAAGCACCGGCUAACUCCGUGCCAGCAGCCGCGGUAAUUC
RNAcentral lists this ribosomal RNA (403 nucleotides) under uncultured bacterium. RNAcentral's name for it is "partial 16S ribosomal RNA". It matches the Rfam family "Bacterial small subunit ribosomal RNA", at positions 30 to 526 of the family's 1533-position model. The record is from RNAcentral.